RNAcentral lists this ribosomal RNA (621 nucleotides) under Salmonella enterica subsp. enterica serovar Minnesota. RNAcentral describes it as "partial 23S ribosomal RNA". It matches the Rfam family "Bacterial large subunit ribosomal RNA", at positions 2261 to 2876 of the family's 2925-position model. RNAcentral also lists the same sequence under 4 other names. Lineage: Bacteria; Pseudomonadati; Pseudomonadota; Gammaproteobacteria; Enterobacterales; Enterobacteriaceae. The record is from RNAcentral.
GUGGGUAGUUUGACUGGGGCGGUCUCCUCCUAAAGAGUAACGGAGGAGCACGAAGGUUGGCUAAUCCUGGUCGGACAUCAGGAGGUUAGUGCAAUGGCAUAAGCCAGCUUGACUGCGAGCGUGACGGCGCGAGCAGGUGCGAAAGCAGGUCAUAGUGAUCCGGUGGUUCUGAAUGGAAGGGCCAUCGCUCAACGGAUAAAAGGUACUCCGGGGAUAACAGGCUGAUACCGCCCAAGAGUUCAUAUCGACGGCGGUGUUUGGCACCUCGAUGUCGGCUCAUCACAUCCUGGGGCUGAAGUAGGUCCCAAGGGUAUGGCUGUUCGCCAUUUAAAGUGGUACGCGAGCUGGGUUUAGAACGUCGUGAGACAGUUCGGUCCCUAUCUGCCGUGGGCGCUGGAGAACUGAGGGGGGCUGCUCCUAGUACGAGAGGACCGGAGUGGACGCAUCACUGGUGUUCGGGUUGUCAUGCCAAUGGCACUGCCCGGUAGCUAAAUGCGGAAGAGAUAAGUGCUGAAAGCAUCUAAGCACGAAACUUGCCCCGAGAUGAGUUCUCCCUGAGACUUUAGGUCUCCUGAAGGAACGUUGAAGACGACGACGUUGAUAGGCCGGGUGUGUAAGCGC